RNAcentral lists this unclassified non-coding RNA (946 nucleotides) under Hevea brasiliensis (rubber tree). The record is from RNAcentral. Lineage: Eukaryota; Viridiplantae; Streptophyta; Magnoliopsida; Malpighiales; Euphorbiaceae.
GAAUGAAUGUCAAAAUCAGUCUCUGUAAAUGUAAAAUCUUGUCUGACCACAAACUUUAUUGAUCUAAAAUCUAGAAAAACUGAAUUGGAUUUAGGGCAAUUUCGAAGAGAUCAACAAUGGCUACCAUUUCAACGGCUCGAAGCUCCGCUUAUCUCACAGCUCUUACACAAGAGAUUGAAAAGAAGCUUCAACGUGCAUUGACUUCGCCCUCACAGAGGCGUAACUUGCUGCAAGAGCUUUUCGCUGAUAUAGCUUUGGAAGUAGAUGACCGAGCAAAAGAGAUAAUACUCGGCACCAAGGAUGCUAUUAUGGUUGCAGAGGAACGGGCUGAAGGACCGACAUGCUACUACUAUGUGCUUGCUGAUCAUUUUGUCCAUGUACCUCAGAAUGGAAAACCGAUCCUUGAUUUAAUAGUCCAACUGUGGAGCCAAUCUUUUGCUGCAAAUAUUUUUUCACUCCUUUUCCAUAAGUGGUUGUUUGAGGUUCAACUUGAGAAUUCUGAAGUCCUCCUCCGAUACUCAUCAGCUCUUGUUCAAGGAGCGACAAAUGUAUUCUGGAUUGACAUCCAAACAAACACAAGGCGUUUUCAGAGUCUUUUUAAGUAUCUGCUCGAGGAAGUUGCCCUUGUUCCUGACCGAUUAAAGAAGAUCCCUUUGCAGGCCCAAAGAGAUCUAUUUCUCUUCCUCUCAAGGUUCAUAUUUUUCUAUAACCUAGGUGACAAACUAGGAAGUUUCUUAAGGCAAUUCCCUGAUUUCCCGAAUGCUUUCUUGAUUGGUGGUGCAGCAGAUAUAUUUGUCACUGAACUAGCUGAUCAGCUUCAAAAACUAAAAGUGGAGCCAGUGUUGUUGCAUUAUCUCUCCCAAUUGAAGGUUCUUCAAGGAUUAGAGUUGAGAAUGGCUACUAGUACAAGAUUGAAAACUUGCUUGUAUAGCUUCACGUCACCAGG